AACAUCAUUCAUAACAACUUGGUGCCGAAACCUGGGAACUCCAGUCCAGGUGAAGAGUGGCUAGUUUUGGGAAGGAGCUCCCCACCAGUUGUUAAGGUGGUCCCAAGGCUAGACCAGGCUCUCUUGGAGAAGGAGUUCCAGAUUAAAAUAAAGCAUAAGCAAAAGAAGCUAGCUACAAGGAGGCGCGCCAGAAGAAGAAGGCUCCCGUGGGAAUGCCGGCAGAAAGGGAAAGGUACCCGUAAAACGUCUUGUGCACAAGAACCCUGUGCGAAAACGGGCUGUUUUAAAGUUGUUUUAAAAGGUGCAUUAUCAAAGUCUGGACAUCCUGAAUUAGCUGCCAACUGCAACCUCAUUGAACCUGAAGGCAGAACAGCACUAAUGAGAAAGAAUCAGACACCUCGUUGAUCAAUGGAAACAGCCCAGGAGGAUUGAAAAAUUUCUCCAAAAGCCUCCAACAGUCAACAUUAACUGAUUUAUUUGAAGAACUACAACUCCAGAAAAAGAGACUGGUAACACC
Molecule: non-coding RNA, 517 nt
Organism: Sturnus vulgaris (Common starling)
Lineage: Eukaryota; Metazoa; Chordata; Aves; Passeriformes; Sturnidae
Source: RefSeq, a predicted model, not a curated record